RNAcentral lists this ribosomal RNA (446 nucleotides) under uncultured bacterium. RNAcentral's name for it is "bacterial SSU rRNA". It matches the Rfam family "Bacterial small subunit ribosomal RNA", at positions 15 to 507 of the family's 1533-position model. The record is from RNAcentral.
GAUCAUGGCUCAGAACGAACGCUGGCGGCAGGCCUAACACAUGCAAGUCGAGCGAUCCCUUCGGGGAUAGCGGCGGACGGGUGAGUAACGCGUGGGAACGUACCCUUUGCUACGGAAUAGCCUCGGGAAACUGGGAGUAAUACCGUAUGUGCCCUUCGGGGGAAAGAUUUAUCGGCAAAGGAUCGGCCCGCGUUGGAUUAGGUAGUUGGUGGGGUAAUGGCCUACCAAACCUACGAUCCAUAGCUGGUUUGAGAGGAUGAUCAGCCACACUGGGACUGAGACACGGCCCAGACUCCUACGGGAGGCAGCAGUGGGGAAUCUUAGACAAUGGGGGCAACCCUGAUCUAGCCAUGCCGCGUGAGUGAUGAAGGCCUUAGGGUUGUAAAGCUCUUUCAGCUGGGAAGAUAAUGACGGUACCAGCAGAAGAAGCCCCGGCUAACUCCGUG